AUAAAAAUCAUUUUAGGAUUUUGUUAAAAUACAGAUUAUGACUUAGAAAUUAUGAGAUGGGCCUGAGAUUCUGCAUUCCUAAUGAGUGCCAGGAGAUGCUGAU
Molecule: microRNA precursor, 103 nt
Filed under: Marmota monax (woodchuck)
Lineage: Eukaryota; Metazoa; Chordata; Mammalia; Rodentia; Sciuridae
Source: RNAcentral